GAUGAACGCUGGCGGCGUGCUUAAGACAUGCAAGUCGAGCGGUAACACUUCGGGUGACGAGCGGCGGACGGGUGAGUAACACGUAGGAACGUACCCCAAACUGAGGGAUAAGCAUCGGAAACGGUGUCUAAUACCACAUGUGAUCUUCGGAUUAAAGCUCCGGCGGUUUGGGAACGGCCUGCGCAUGAUUAGCUUGUUGGUAAGGUAAAAGCUUACCAAGGCGACGAUCAUUAGCUGGUCUGAGAGGAUGACCAGCCACACUGGGACUGAGAUACGGCCCAGACUCCUACGGGAGGCAGCAGUCGGGAAUUUUCCACAAUGGACGAAAGUCUGAUGGAGCAACGCCGCGUGCAGGACGAAGGCCUUCGGUCGUAAC
RNAcentral lists this ribosomal RNA (376 nucleotides) under uncultured bacterium. Its description in RNAcentral is "bacterial SSU rRNA". It matches the Rfam family "Bacterial small subunit ribosomal RNA", at positions 28 to 429 of the family's 1533-position model. The record is from RNAcentral.